CUUGCUCUGGUGGCGAGUGGCGAACGGGUGAGUAAUAUAUCGGAACGUACCCAAGAGUGGGGGAUAACGUAGCGAAAGUUACGCUAAUACCGCAUACGAUCUAAGGAUGAAAGCAGGGGACCGCAAGGCCUUGUGCUCCUGGAGCGGCCGAUAUCUGAUUAGCUAGUUGGUGAGGUAAAGGCUCACCAAGGCAUCGAUCAGUAGCUGGUCUGAGAGGACGACCAGCCACACUGGAACUGAGACACGGUCCAGA
This 253-nucleotide ribosomal RNA is filed under the name Duganella fentianensis. RNAcentral describes it as "Bacterial small subunit ribosomal RNA". It matches the Rfam family "Bacterial small subunit ribosomal RNA", at positions 79 to 335 of the family's 1533-position model. The record is from Rfam by way of RNAcentral. Lineage: Bacteria; Pseudomonadati; Pseudomonadota; Betaproteobacteria; Burkholderiales; Oxalobacteraceae.